GCCACAAAGCUAGCUCAAACACACCAAGAAACUUGUUAAUCUACCUUAUUUUUAAAAGACAAAAACCCACUCAUCAAACCAUUUGACCAUCCCAGUAUGGGCGACAGAAAAGAUAACCCGAAGCAAUAGAAGAAGUACCGCAAGGGAAAGCUGAAAAAGAAAUGAAAAAACCCGUUAAAGCACCAAAAAGCAAAGAUAAACUCUUGUACCUUUUGCAUCAUGAUUCAGCAAGUUAACUCAAGCAAAGAGAACUCUAGUUUGCCCCCCCGAAACUUGACGAGCUACUCCGGAACAGCUAAUUAUGAGCCAACCCAUCUCUGUGGCAAAAGAGUGGGAAGAUUCCCGAGUAGAGGCAAAAAACCUACCGAGCCAAGUUAUAGCUGGUUACCCAAUAAACGAAUAAAAGUUCAGCCCCACCCAGCCCCCCUCAAGAAAGUACAACCAACAAAGAUAAUUAGAGCUUACGUGGAGGUUAAUCAAAGGAGGAACAGCUCCUCUGAUUAAGGACACAACCUUAAUAGAAGGUUAAAGAAUACAAUACACAAGGCUCAAGGUCGCAGUGGGCCUGAAAGCAGCCACCUGACCAGAAAGCGUUAAAGCUCUGACCCUCACCCUGGCCUAUUAUUUUAUUUUUUCUUCUUACCCCUCUAUACCUUAUUGGGUCUCUCUAUGCCAAGCUCAUAGAAGAGAUUAUGCUGAAACGAGUAACAAGAAGGAUGAACUUCUCCACGCACAAGUGUAUGUCAGAAUGGACUAACCACCGACAACUAACGAACCCAAAAAAAGAGGGCCCUACACAUCCGUCCCUUAAAACCAAGAAAAAUCUGUUGAGUUUUAUCGUUACCCCUACACAGGAGUGCUAGAACCAGGAAAGACUAAAAGAAAAAAAAGGAACUCGGCAAACCCAAACCCCGCCUGUUUACCAAAAACACCGCCUCUUGCCUAAUAGAGUAUAAGAGGUCCCACCUGCCCUGUGACUUUAAGUUUAACGGCCGCGGUAUCCUAACCGUGCGAAGGUAGCGCAAUCAAUUGCCUUUUAAAUGAAGGCCUGUAUGAAUGGUAUAACGAGGGUUUAACUGUCUCUUUUUUCUAGUCAGUUAAACUGAUCUGUCCGUGCAGAAGCGGACAUUACUAUACAAGACGAGAAGACCCUAUGGAGCUUUAGACACCAGCCAACUGUGAAAUAGCGAUUAAUACACCUUAUUCCCAAACAUCCGCAGCCUCUGGUAAAGUGUCUUAGGUUGGGGCGACCACGGGAGAAAGAAAAGCUCCCGAGCAGAACAGGGUUCACCCUGGAACUAAGAACGACAGCUCUAAGUCACAAAAUAUUUGACUGAAAUGAUCCGGACUAACAACCGAUUAACGAACCAAGUUACCCUAGGGAUAACAGCGCAAUCCCCUCCCAGAGUCCCUAUCGACGAGGGGGUUUACGACCUCGAUGUUGGAUCAGGACAUCCUAAUGGUGCAGCCGCUAUUAAGGGUUCGUUUGUUCAACGAUUAAAGUCCUACGUGAUCUGAGUUCAGACCGGAGUAAUCCAGGUCGGUUUCUAUCUGUAAAGCUACCUCUCCUAGUACGAAAGGACCGGAGUGGAGGGGCCAAGGCUCCUAGCAAGCCCCUUACUCACCUGCUGAAGUCAACUAAAGCAAAUAAGAGUAAGCGACCCAGCAGCUCAAGAAAAGAGCUGUUUUUAUUCGC
This 1696-nucleotide ribosomal RNA is filed under the name Encrasicholina pseudoheteroloba. RNAcentral's name for it is "16S ribosomal RNA". It matches the Rfam family "Bacterial large subunit ribosomal RNA". Lineage: Eukaryota; Metazoa; Chordata; Actinopteri; Clupeiformes; Engraulidae. The record is from RNAcentral.